UACGAAGGGGGCGAGCGUUGUUCGGAUUUACUGGGCGUAAAGGGCGCGCAGGCGGCUCAUUUUGUCAGGCGUGAAAGCCCCGGGCUUAACCUGGGAAUGGCGAUGGAGACUGCAAGGCUAGAGUUUGGCAGAGGGGGGUAGAAUUCCACGUGUAGCAGUGAAAUGCGUAGAGAUGUGGAGGAACACCGAUGGCGAAGGCAGCCCCCUGGGUCAAAACUGACGCUCAUGCACGAAAGCGUGGGGAGCAAACAGG
This 253-nucleotide ribosomal RNA is filed under the name uncultured bacterium. RNAcentral's name for it is "partial 16S ribosomal RNA". It matches the Rfam family "Bacterial small subunit ribosomal RNA", at positions 524 to 776 of the family's 1533-position model. The record is from RNAcentral.